RNAcentral lists this ribosomal RNA (370 nucleotides) under uncultured eukaryote. RNAcentral describes it as "partial 18S ribosomal RNA". It matches the Rfam family "Eukaryotic small subunit ribosomal RNA", at positions 592 to 976 of the family's 1831-position model. The record is from RNAcentral.
CAAUAGCGUAUAUUAAAGUUGUUGCAGUUAAAAAGCUCGUAGUUGGAUUUCUGGUCGGAAGCUCCUGUCCUCUGAUGAGCGUACAAGUGCGUCCUACCAUCCUUCUGUUAACCUUUAAGGCUUUCGCGGCUUUCUAGGGGCUCAGAUAUUUUACCUUGAGAAAAUUAGAGUGUUUCAGGCAGGCUAGCGCCGGAAUACAUUAGCAUGGAAUAAUGGAAUAGGACUUUUGCCUCUUCUGUUGGUCAUGAGGCUCGAGUAAUGAUUAAUAGGGAUAGUUGGGGGCAUUAGUACUUAACUGUCAGAGGUGAUAUUCUCGGAUUUGUUAAAGACUAACUUAUGCGAAAGCAUUUGCCAAGGAUGUUUUCAUUAA